Long non-coding RNA from Gossypium arboreum, 779 nucleotides. RefSeq lists it as uncharacterized. Lineage: Eukaryota; Viridiplantae; Streptophyta; Magnoliopsida; Malvales; Malvaceae. The record is from RefSeq and is a predicted model, not a curated record. The transcript has 3 exons.
AACAUUUUUAUUCCUCUUUGUCGUACGUUCAGCACUUUCACUAAAUAUCGCCUUCAUUGGAGCACAUCGACUGUAGUUGCCACCCCUUUCCUCUUCCGAUUUCAUUGUCGUCGUUGUCGCCUUAUUUAGAGAAGAUGAUCAAUAAUCAUGGAAGGAUGAUAUGUAUGCGCAAGUUAAAAAGCCGAAAAAAAGGGGUCUGUUGGUUGUAUGGGAACAAUAUCCACUUCAUCUCAUAAGUUCGUUCCUUCAUCAUCUAAAUCCCAACAAAAUUAAAAGAUAGAACGGUUAAAAACAGAGAUUCAAGAUUUGAAGGAAGUUUUAGGUAAUGUUUUAACUUUACUUAAAACAAAGUUUCCAGACGACAAUGUGAAUGUUCUAACUGUUAUGCGGGCGUUCAAUAGAGAGGUAUUUGAUGCUAGUAGUGGUCUAAAUUUAUCACAACGUCCGAGAAAUUGAUCUUCAAGUUGCAGUCAUCAACUUGAUGAAGAUGAAGAUGGUAAAUUAUGUCCAAACUUCAUUAUUUUAUAUAAUUUCGUUAUUUGAUUUCCUUAAAUACAUAUACAUUUUUCAUCAAUUUUAUACAAGUGAUACUCCAAAGGAAUAUGUGGCUAUGUUUAGACUUUGUUUGGACUAUAUAUUUGGUUUGGUUGAUGACUUUAGUCUUGACUAUGUAUUUCGUUUAUGUUUGAGUUAUGUAAUUUGGACUAUGUUAGCGUUAUAUUUGACUUUUUGUGAAUUAUAAAUUUUAGUUUGAACAAAAUUAAAAAUUUUUUUAGCAA